RNAcentral lists this ribosomal RNA (163 nucleotides) under Baculellum articulatum. RNAcentral's name for it is "Curio articulatus 5.8S ribosomal RNA". It matches the Rfam family "5.8S ribosomal RNA". Rfam says of the family: 5.8S ribosomal RNA (5.8S rRNA) is a component of the large subunit of the eukaryotic ribosome. The record is from RNAcentral. Lineage: Eukaryota; Viridiplantae; Streptophyta; Magnoliopsida; Asterales; Asteraceae. RNAcentral also lists the same sequence under 1 other name.
AAACGACUCUCGGCAACGGAUAUCUUGGCUCACGCAUCGAUGAAGAACGUAGCAAAAUGCGAUACUUGGUGUGAAUUGCAGAAUCCCGUGAACCAUCGAGUUUUUGAACGCAAGUUGCGCCCGAAGCCUUUUGGCUGAGGGCACGUCUGCCUGGGCGUCACAC